GUGAGGGCGAUCUGGCUGCGACAUCUGUCACCCCAUUGAUCACCAGGGUUGAUUCGGCUGAUCUGGCUGGCUAGGCAGGUGUCUCCUUCCUCCCUCACGGCUCCAUGUGCAUCCCUCCCGAAGCUGCGCGCUUGGUCCAAGAGGACGGCCUUCCCCGAAUAGAGACGGACAGGUCUUCGGUCGAGGGUAUAGGAGCAGCUGCGCUCCCCUGCUAGAACCUCCAAACAAGCUCUCCAUUAACUAUAAACUUAUAAUACAGAAACAAGAUAAUCAGCAGUAAAAGUAUGAUAAAAUAAUAUUUAUAAAAAAGAGUAGACUAU
RNAcentral lists this small nuclear RNA (320 nucleotides) under Sorex araneus (European shrew). Its description in RNAcentral is "7SK RNA (ENSSARG00000016010.1)". It matches the Rfam family "7SK RNA". From Rfam's summary of the family: 7SK was discovered as an abundant small nuclear RNA in the mid-70s but a possible function has only recently been suggested. Two independent studies have found that 7SK RNA binds the CDK9/cyclin T complex (known as elongation factor P-TEFb). The record is from RNAcentral. Lineage: Eukaryota; Metazoa; Chordata; Mammalia; Eulipotyphla; Soricidae.